AGCCCCGUUCAAAGGCUCCGCCGCUGCCAGGAGCGUCCUUCUGCAAGUGUCAUCCCGCGAUCAUGGCCAACGCGUGACCUGCCGCGCCCACAGCGCCGAGCUCCACGAAACCACCGUCCAGAGUUCCUGGGGGAGCAGGUGCUGGUGGUGACCGCGGUGGAGCAGGGCGAGGCGUUGCUGCCCGUGUCCGUGUCCGCUAACCCCGCCCCCGAGGCCUUCAACUGGACCUUCCGCGGCUAUCGCCUCAGUCCAGGUGAGGGAAGUGGGCAUGGGGAGGGGUCCCGGGGAUGGGAGGCCCUGUCAGGUCCCUUAUUCUGGCCUUCCCCAGCGGGCGGCCCCCGGCAUCGCAUCCUCUCCAGCGGGGCUCUGCAUCUGUGGAAUGUGACCCGCGCGGACGACGGCCUCUAUCAGCUGCACUGCCAGAACUCCGAGGGCACCGCGGAAGCGCUGCUGCGGCUGGACGUGCACUGUGAGCCCCGCCCACCAUGAAAACCACACCCACCCAAGGAAUCUUGCCCAAUGUGGAGUCUCCUCAUUGUGGGAGCUCCGCCCACCCAGGGACAGCCACUCAUCCUGGAACCCUCCCGUUCUGGAAGUCCCAGCCGCGGUGUAACCACGCCCACUGCGGAACCCCUUCCACUAGAGAGACCCAGUGUGGAAUCUCUGCCCAGAGACGGUGUCCGCCUAGACACGGAAGCUGCUCCCGUCAGGAAUGGGAGCCCACUGUAUAAGCCCCCCUACACACACAAUUCUGGAAGCCCACCCAACCCACUCUAAUUAUCACAGAGGCAUAGUGGAGGGUGGAGACAACCUCACCAACCUUGAGAACUCUCCUCCAACUCUUUGAUAUUAAGGGCAGAUUGUGUCCACACCCAUAACUUUCGUGGAACCCCUAAGACAUCCCUCCCACCUGGGGCCCUCUCACACGGAGAGCUGUCUGGGCCCAAGUGCCUUCCCCAAGCCUCUGCCUUCCACCAGAUGCUCCCACCAUCCGUGCCCUCCAAGACCCCACUGAGGUGAACGUCGGGGGUUCUGUGGACAUAGUCUGCACUGUUGACGCCAAUCCCAUCCUCC
Molecule: small RNA, 1074 nt
Filed under: Pongo abelii (Sumatran orangutan)
Lineage: Eukaryota; Metazoa; Chordata; Mammalia; Primates; Hominidae
Description: retained intron
Source: RNAcentral